Molecule: ribosomal RNA, 424 nt
Filed under: uncultured bacterium
Lineage: Bacteria
Description: partial 16S ribosomal RNA
Rfam family: Bacterial small subunit ribosomal RNA
Source: RNAcentral
AAUAUUUUACAAUGGGCGAAAGCCUGAUCCAGCCAUGCUGCGUGUGUGAAGAAGGUCUCCGGAGUGUAAAGCACUCUAUGUUGGGAGGAAGGGCAGUAAGUUAAUACCCUGCUGUUUUGACGUUACCGCCAGAAUAAGCACCGGCUAACUUCGCGCCAGCAGCCGCGGUAAUACGAAGGGUGCAAGCGUUAAUCGGAAUUACUGGGCGUAAAACGCGCGUAGGUGGUUUGUUAAGUUGGAAGUGAAAACCCCGGGCUCAACCUGGGGAUUGCUUUCAAAACUGACGAGCUAGAGUACGGUAGAGGGUAGUGGAAUUUCCUGUGUAGCGGUGAAAUGCGUAGAUAUAGGAAGGAACAUCAGUGGCGAAGGCGACUACCUGGACUGAUACUGACACUGAGGUGCGAAAGCGUGGGGAGCAAACAGG